RNAcentral lists this ribosomal RNA (586 nucleotides) under Acinetobacter baumannii Naval-81. RNAcentral's name for it is "bacterial SSU rRNA". It matches the Rfam family "Bacterial small subunit ribosomal RNA", at positions 896 to 1482 of the family's 1533-position model. The record is from RNAcentral. Lineage: Bacteria; Pseudomonadati; Pseudomonadota; Gammaproteobacteria; Moraxellales; Moraxellaceae.
AAAACUCAAAUGAAUUGACGGGGGCCCGCACAAGCGGUGGAGCAUGUGGUUUAAUUCGAUGCAACGCGAAGAACCUUACCUGGCCUUGACAUACUAGAAACUUUCCAGAGAUGGAUUGGUGCCUUCGGGAAUCUAGAUACAGGUGCUGCAUGGCUGUCGUCAGCUCGUGUCGUGAGAUGUUGGGUUAAGUCCCGCAACGAGCGCAACCCUUUUCCUUACUUGCCAGCAUUUCGGAUGGGAACUUUAAGGAUACUGCCAGUGACAAACUGGAGGAAGGCGGGGACGACGUCAAGUCAUCAUGGCCCUUACGGCCAGGGCUACACACGUGCUACAAUGGUCGGUACAAAGGGUUGCUACACAGCGAUGUGAUGCUAAUCUCAAAAAGCCGAUCGUAGUCCGGAUUGGAGUCUGCAACUCGACUCCAUGAAGCCGGAAUCGCUAGUAAUCGCGGAUCAGAAUGCCGCGGUGAAUACGUUCCCGGGCCUUGUACACACCGCCCGUCACACCAUGGGAGUUUGUUGCACCAGAAGUAGCUAGCCUAACUGCAAAGAGGGCGGUUACCAUGGUGUGGCCGAUGACUGGGGUG